ACUUGAACUUGGCUUCUGGAAUCACCGCUGCCGGAGGCGGGAACAAGUGGGCUUUGGUGCAGAGAGUCCGAGUGACACCCCACGUGGGCGGCGGCAAGCGCCGGUGGCGGCUGGAGAGGCGGGGUGAAAGAGAAGCUAUGCAGAAAUCAGAGUGCUCUGGAGGUGUGCAAUUGAGAAACAGAGCAACAGUAAUGAUCGCACAUCCUCAAGCACACAGGUGAAACACAGGACUGCAGUUCAGCGCAGCAAAUCCUCCUCCUUAACCAGUUCUCCAGAGGCUGCCAGACGGGCUCAUCCUCGGCCAAGCGAUAAACUCAACCCUAAAACCAUUAACCCUUUUGGUGAACAGCCACGGGCCCCUUCUGCAUUUGCAGCU
Molecule: long non-coding RNA, 376 nt
Filed under: Rattus norvegicus (Norway rat)
Lineage: Eukaryota; Metazoa; Chordata; Mammalia; Rodentia; Muridae
Description: long non-coding RNA NONRATT009952
Source: RNAcentral